UACGUAGGUGGCAAGCGUUGUCCGGAUUUAUUGGGUUUAAAGGGUGCGUAGGCGGUUUUUUAAGUCAGUGGUGAAAUACUUCAGCUUAACUGGAGAGGUGCCAUUGAUACUGGGAAACUUGAGUACUGAUGAGGUAGGCGGAAUGGACGGUGUAGCGGUGAAAUGCGUAGAGAUCCGGAAGAACACCGGUGGCGAAGGCGGUCUGCUGGGGUAAUGCUGACACUGAGGCGCGACAGCGUGGGGAGCAAACAGG
RNAcentral lists this ribosomal RNA (253 nucleotides) under uncultured bacterium. RNAcentral describes it as "partial 16S ribosomal RNA". It matches the Rfam family "Bacterial small subunit ribosomal RNA", at positions 524 to 776 of the family's 1533-position model. The record is from RNAcentral.